RNAcentral lists this ribosomal RNA (478 nucleotides) under uncultured bacterium. Its description in RNAcentral is "partial 16S ribosomal RNA". It matches the Rfam family "Bacterial small subunit ribosomal RNA", at positions 28 to 523 of the family's 1533-position model. The record is from RNAcentral.
GACGAACGCUGGCGGCGUGCUUAACACAUGCAAGUCGAGCGAUGAAGUUCCUUCGGGAAUGGAUUAGCGGCGGACGGGUGAGUAACACGUGGGUAACCUGCCUCAUAGAGGGGAAUAGCCUUUCGAAAGGAAGAUUAAUACCGCAUAAGAUUGUAGUAUCGCAUGAUACAGCAAUUAAAGGAGUAAUCCGCUGUGUGAUGGACCCGCGUCGCAUUAGCUAGUUGGUGAGGUAACGGCUCACCAAGGCGACGAUGCGUAGCCGACCUGAGAGGGUGAUCGGCCACAUUGGGACUGAGACACGGCCCAGACUCCUUCGGGAGGCAGCAGUGGGGAAUAUUGCACAAUGGGGGAAACCCUGAUGCAGCAACGCCGCGUGAGUGAUGACGGUCUUCGGAUUGUAAAACUCUGUCUUCAGGGACGAUAAUGACGGUACCUGAGGAGGAAGCCACGGCUAACUACGUGCCAGCCGCCGCCGUAA